This 85-nucleotide ribosomal RNA is filed under the name Maxillaria chrysantha. Its description in RNAcentral is "5.8S ribosomal RNA". It matches the Rfam family "5.8S ribosomal RNA", at positions 5 to 89 of the family's 154-position model. From Rfam's summary of the family: 5.8S ribosomal RNA (5.8S rRNA) is a component of the large subunit of the eukaryotic ribosome. It is transcribed by RNA polymerase I as part of the 45S precursor that also contains 18S and 28S rRNA. Functionally, it is thought that 5.8S rRNA may be involved in ribosome translocation. Lineage: Eukaryota; Viridiplantae; Streptophyta; Magnoliopsida; Asparagales; Orchidaceae. The record is from RNAcentral.
CUCGGCAAUGGAUAUCUCGGCUCUCGCAUCGAUGAAGAGCGCAGCGAAAUGCGAUACGUGGUGCGAAUUGCAGAAUCCCGCGAAC